RNAcentral lists this long non-coding RNA (2470 nucleotides) under Marmota monax (woodchuck). Lineage: Eukaryota; Metazoa; Chordata; Mammalia; Rodentia; Sciuridae. The record is from RNAcentral.
GCUGGGGGUGGGGGCUGGGAGUCAGGAAACAGAGUCAGCAGUGGUCUCGUUUGGAAUUUGGACUUAAAGAGGAAACAGGACUGUCAUUGCACGUACAGGGAAGGAAACUGCACUGAAGCUUUGCCUGAACCUGCGGAUUUCUAAAUUAAGAUGACUCUUUUCAGGCCCUCCUCCACUCAACAAGCCCAGGGUCCUGCUGUGUACACGCUCUGCCUGCGGAGGAGAAACCCUGAGUGUGACCAAGGCCCCAGCCGACAAGCAGCUUGCAGAACAGAGAGCGCUGCCUUCCACCCCGGAGUCCACGGGGGUCUUGCUAGGACAUUCUUCUUCUGUGGAAGUUGUAAAUUUUACUUUGGGCUCUCCUCAUUUUGAGGUAAUAAAAUCCUGAGCCUGGAAGGGAACGGGGAGAUCAUCCUUCACCUCACGGAUGUAAAAAGUUGAAUCCUGGAGAGACGCAGGACACACAUCCAGUAAGGGGAAGAUUCAGGGGCAAAGCUCUUAUCUUCUGCUUCCCGGUUCGGGGAAUUUUCCACUACCUCGCGCCAGAUUGCAUACAUGAGAGUCGAUUCUGCGUCUCUAAGUUCAUAUAGCUUAACCAUUCCUUUAAAUGGCUGUGUUAAUGACUUCCAUGAGUCAGUGCUUAUUUUCCAUAUUCUGCCAAUUAAUUGUGGUUUGGGGGGUGAUCUGUUCCAAAUCCCUGGAUUAUAAAGUGUGGCGUCAGCUAUUUUUUGAAGGUAAUUCAUUCCAAAGCUUGGACCAAUUAUAGCUAAUAUAGUUGAAUUUGUCUUUAAACAUCCUCGAAUCAAAACCCAAUAGUCCUAUUUGUUUCCCCCCUAGCAUGGCUACCAGGAGGCAUUGUGAAUUCCCCAGGACCCCGUCCCCCCUCCCCACAGGACCUGGGGAAGCAGAUACCCUGAGGAUCCGUGAAAGUCAGCUUGGAAGUACCACUGUCACCUGGAAGAUGACUGGCUGGAGCAGUCUGUUUGGAGGUGUUUGCUUUUCUUUGUUAUUGUGGCCAGAAAUAAUAGUAAGAAGGACUUAAUGUUAUUUCUAACUCCGAGAGUCCCCUUUCCCUCUCCCCAGGCAAUCUAGAUUGGGCUCCUACCAUCUGGAAAAUAUAAGUUUUGUUUGGAAACUAGGAACAUCUUCUACCGCAUCUAAAACUGGUUACUUUCCCCACCAAGCAGCAUAUCAAAGACAGGGAUAAAAAUAUCCAUUGUAUGAGACAGCCAUUUUUAUAUCCAUGGCUUUUGGCUCUCAGAUUGAUCUUUGGUGGCCUCUGCCAUCCAGUCUAAUCAGCCUAAUCUCUUGAGGGGCAAAGAUGAGGAGUGCACCGCUCCGUCGAGCAGCCCGGCUCUGGGCAAGCGAUCUCAUUGUCAUAUAUUAGAAUUGAGAAGUGCAGGGGAGGCAAACAUAAUAUUCCCUCUACCCUUGUAACUUCUUUUCUGGGACCCUUAAACAAAAUACAGAUUGACAAGAGAAAAUCAAGUGUAUUAAAAUGUAUGUUUCAUGUGUACAUGAAAGAAAACCAAGGGAAAGAGUAACUACCAAAGAUGUCAUCUGCAAAUUCUUGCUUAUUAGUCUCUUCAACAGUAAACGAUGCAUUUUUAAUUAAUUUAUUAAUUUAUUCUAAUUAGGUAUAUAUGGCAGCAGAAUGCAUUUUGAUUCAUUGUACAAACUGCAGCACAACUUUUCAUUUCUCUGGUUGUACAUGACGUAGCCUCGCACCACAUGUUCAGUCAUACAUGUACCGGGCCAUGCAUUUUCAGACAAAUGAUGAACAAAGGAAUCGGACUGUGAGUCUCUAUGAGCGGCAAAGUGUGGGAAGGCAAAGGUGUGGGGAACUCACUGUAGGUAGAGACUUGACAGUCGAGAUUGGCACAUAGAUUCCCCUGGCCUAGUCCUGGCUAAUACGGGUCUCAAGCCAUCUCUGGGGAUGGACUUAAUCCUUCCUGAUGGAGAGGGGAGGAGGGACAAGGUUUUGUUCUACUUUUAGACAUACAGAGGGAGGGUAGGGAGGUUUUCUUGUAUCUGUUUCUUCUAAAUUGCUUCCAGCUCAAAAUAAUCCUCAUGCCAAAGUGACAAAUGUGGCUUUUUCUGCUGUCUUUGAAAGACUUUCUGAGCUCACAUGGUUUGAUAUUACAGACAAGAAAACCAGGCUUAGGGAAAGAAACCUCUUGCAUGCUCUCCAUUUGUAAGAGGACCUGCUCCGUCAUUUCCACCUUUGACAGUCCCUGCUCUGAAAGUCCCUUCCGGGUGGCUGUGGACAAGCAGCCCAAAAGCAUCACUUGGAGCUCCUGGAGAGGGCAGAUCUGGGCCCCAGUGGGAAUCUGCAUCUGAAGGCCUCCUCCAGGUGACUGCCUGGGCCUCGGGGCUUUAGAAAUCGCACUGAUAUUGGCCUAAGGCAUUUUGUGACUUGUCUCUCCUUGGUCUGCAGGUGUCACCAGAGAGCUGACAGUGAUCUUGUGAA